GGCUCUGUGGCCUAAUGGAUAAGGCGUCGGCCUCCGGAACCGAGGGUGUGGGUUCGAGUCCCGUCAGAGUCG
This 72-nucleotide transfer RNA is filed under the name Aplysia californica (California sea hare). Its description in RNAcentral is "tRNA-Arg". It matches the Rfam family "tRNA". Rfam says of the family: Transfer RNA (tRNA) molecules are approximately 80 nucleotides in length. Their secondary structure includes four short double-helical elements and three loops (D, anti-codon, and T loops). The record is from RNAcentral. Lineage: Eukaryota; Metazoa; Mollusca; Gastropoda; Aplysiida; Aplysiidae.